This 9276-nucleotide long non-coding RNA is filed under the name Salmo salar (Atlantic salmon). RNAcentral's name for it is "lncRNA (ENSSSAG00000099575.1)". The record is from RNAcentral. Lineage: Eukaryota; Metazoa; Chordata; Actinopteri; Salmoniformes; Salmonidae.
CGGCAUAGAGCGGUGGAGCUAUUAGCUCCGCGCUGCAGACAUCAUUAGGAGUGGAGGGAGACGAUUCCACCGUCAGCGCAGGAACAGGAAGCCCUGGCAACAAGGAGAGACCGCUCUUACCAGACCAUUACACCGUACAGUAAGUCCUAGCUCUGUCUAUACUCUUAGUCUGUGUCAUUUUUUUUGUGUCACUUUUUUCUUUGCUAAGCGGUAGAGGUAGAGAAAAUGGCUGGAACUGGAAGGAAGGCGUACGCGCAAAGAGAGCGUUCGUUUAUUUCCAAAGCCUUUGAAAAUGUUUACUUCGCACUCUGACCUAUUUUAUUUGUGCCCGGAGCAUAGACGGUUGUUUGUGGUUUACAGUCAUGCACUUGUCAUUUCGAACAAAAAUGCAAACGAACUAUUAAGUUUGACACAAGAGCGCGGUGGUUUCGCGGACUUGAAAACGAGCAAGGAGUGUUUCACAGGCGGGUUGGUGUGUAGGACAGGCAAGCUAACUGCGCCACCCCAACCAGAAACAUUGCAUAAAGAAUAGUAAAAUACAUAUUUAUAGUAUAGCCUUCAACCGUCCACUUUUAAAAUGGUUGUGGUACGUGAGUAGCCUACGUGGCCGUAUGUCCACUCAUGCGACACAUUUUAGUUUCUAAUUCCAUCGCGGAAGUGUUUUAUAUUCUUCAAAAACAGGGCAAACCAACUAACCCUAGUCCACCUAAUGUAACCGGCGUCAUUAUACAAACACAUAGUACACGACAUGCCCUUUCAUUUGGGGGGGAGAAAAUGUUAUCUACUCGGUUAGGCUACAAUCGCUUUUCAUUGACGCUGGCUGGUUUGUAAAGGACAUUGGGUCUCCUGAAUGUGUCUAGUGAUUGCUCGACUACCCGUGGCGUGAUGUCACUCAUCCCAGCUUUGGUGGUUAUAUAACAGGACUGUAGGGAUCCCGGGUUGUGAUAGCGAGGUAUUUAUACUCUGUUUACAGUCAGGAAUUGCACAAUGCAUAGUAAGAUUGGCAUAGUAAAACCUGUCUUCCCAAGAGGAUAGGCUACAGACUGCUACAUGCCACCACCACUACACUGUUAUUACAUGCUUACAUUUGAUCCAGUAUCUACAAACGAAGGUGGUUGGUCAAAGAGUGUUUCAAUGUUGCCGAAAUAAAAAAACAUUAUGCUGUAAAAUGUUACAGUAACUUUGCAAUGAAGGACACUUGAUACUGCGAAAUUAUUUUUCAACAACAUGCAAGCCUGCAGUAAAACAAGAAUACACGUUGUCGUACUUUAGCGUACACCAGCUUGCUUAUGAGCAUAAUAAUGCAUAUUAAAAAAAACAUGUCUGGAGGCCGUUUUGCAAUGCAGUAACAUGACAAGAGGUGAAGUAUUUGUUGCACCUCUGUAUCCAAUAAAAAAAUGAAGAUUGGUUGGAUCACAAUUAUAAUCACAAUCUUGAUGAUCUUAUUUGUUGUGAAAUUGACUGAUAUUACUUGUUAGAUAUUACUUGACAGAUAUUACUUGUUAGAUAUUACUUGUUAGAUAUUACUUGACAGAUAUUACUUGUUAGAUAUUACUUGUUAGAUAUUACUUGACAGAUAUUACUUGAUAGAUAUUACUUGAUAGAUAUUACUUGACAGAUAUUACUUGUUAGAUAUUACUUGAUAGAUAUUACUUGAUAGAUACUGCUGCACUGUCGGAACUAGAAGCACAAGCAUUUCGCUACACUCGCAAUAACAUCUGCUAACCAUGUGUAUGUGACCAAUUUGAUUUGAUUUGAUUUUGAUGAUAAUAUAUCAUGUUUCAUCUCAAUACCUGAUAGGCCUAUGUGUUGUUUAUGUAUGCUAAUAUUUUUCAUUAUGUUGUUGCACAUACAGAGGCUUACCAUUGUUCAGUGUAUACAGUUCUCUGUACUCUGUACUGUGGAUGGCUGCUGCUAUGGAGUUGACAUUUAGACUAGGUUGUCAUUUCACCACAGAGCUUCUGUAUAUAACCUGUGUAUAUAACCUUGCCCAUUUAAACCUGUACUCUGCAGGCCACGGAACCACAUUGUUUAUUUAUGUACCUUGUCUUCUUGGUAGUGUAGUAUGAGGUGGGUAGGUUUGUGGCGGCUGAUUGACCAGUGAUAGUGUAGUAUGAGGUGGGUAGGUUUGUGGCGGCUGAUUGACCAGUGAUAGUGUAGUAUGAGGUGGGUAAGUUUGUGGCGGCUGAUUGACCAGUGAUAGUGUAGUAUGAGGUGGGUAAGUUUGUGGCGGCUGAUUGACCAGUGAUAGUGUAGUAUGAGGUGGGUAAGUUUGUGGCGGCUGACCAGUGAUAGUGUAGUUUGAGGUGGGUAGGUUUGUAGCGGCUGAUCAGUGAUAGUGUAGUUUGAGGUGGGUAGGUUUGUGGUGGCUGAUCAGUGAUAGUGUAGUAUGAGGUGGGUAGGUUUGUGGCAGCUGGCUGACCAAUGAUAGUGUAGUUUGAGGUGGGUAGGUUUGUGGCGGCUGAUCAGUGAUAGUGUAGUUUGAGGUGGGUAGGUUUGUGGCUGCUGUUUGACCAGUGAUAGUGUAGUUUGAGGUGGGUAGGUUUGGGGCGGCAGGCUGACCAGUGAUAGUGUAGUUUGAGUUGGGUGGGUUUGUGGUGGCUGGCUGGCUGACCAGUGAUAGUGUAGUUUGAGGAGGGUAGGUUUGUGGCGGCUGGCUGACCAGUGAUAGUGUAGUUUGAGGUGGGUAGGUUUGUGGCGGCUGACUGACCAGUGAUAGUGUAGUUUGAGUUGGGUAGGUUUGUGGCGGCUGACCAGUGACAGUGUAGUUUGAGGUGGGUAGGUUUGUGGCGGCUGAUUGACCAGUGAUAGUGUAGUUUGAAGUGGUUAGGUUUGUGGCUGCUGACUGACCAGUGAUAGUGUAGUAUGAGGUGGGUAGGUUUGCGACAGCUGACCAGUGAUAGUUUAGUAUGAGGUGGGUAGGUUUGUGGUGGCUGGCCAAUGAUAGUGUAGUUUGAGGUGGGUAGGUUUGUGGCGGCUGACUGACCAGUGAUAGUGUAGUUUGAGGUGGGUAGGUUUGUGGCGGCUGACCAGUGAUAGUGUAGUAUGAGGUGGGUAGGUUUGUUGCGGCUGACCAAUGAUAGUGUAGUUUGAGGUGGGUAGGUUUGUGGCGGCUGAUUGACCAGUGAUAGUGUAGUUUGAGGUGGGUAGGUUUGUGGCGGCUGACUGACCAGUGAUAGUGUAGUAUGAGGUGGGUAGGUUUGUGGCGGCUGAUUGACCAGUGAUAGUGUAGUAUGAGGUGGGUAGGUGUGUGGCGGCUGGCUGACCAGUGAUAGUGUAGUUUGAGGUGGGUAGGUUUGUGGCUGCUGACCAGUGAUAGUGUAGUUUGAGGUGGGUAGGUUUGUGGCGGCUGAUUGACCAGUGAUAGUGUAGUUUGAAGUGGGUAGGUUUGUGGCAGCUGACUGACCAGUGAUAGUGUAGUAUGAGGUGGGUAGGUUUGUGGCGGCUGACCAGUGAUAGUGUAGUAUGAGGUGGGUAGGUUUGUGGUGGCUGGCUGACCAGUGAUAGUGUAGUAUGAGGUGGGUAGGUUUGUGGCGGCUGGCUGACCAGUGAUAGUGUAGUUUGAGGUGGGUAGGUUUGUGGCGGCUGGCUGACCAGUGAUAGUGUAGUAUGAGGUAGGUAGGUUUGUGGCGGCUGAUUGACCAGUGAUAGUGUAGUUUGAAGUGGUUAGGUUUGUGGCGGCUGGCUGACCAGUGAUAGUGUAGUAUGAGAUGGGUAGGUUUGUGGCGGCUGACCAAUGAUAGUGUAGUAUGAGGUGGGUAGGUUUGUGGCGGCUGAUUGACCAGUGAUAGUGUAGUAUGAGGUGGGUAGGUGUGUGGCGGCUUGCUGACCAGUGAUAGUGUAGUUUGAGGUGGGUAGGUUUGUGGCGGCUGACUGACCAGUGAAGUGUAGUUUGAGGUGGGUAGGUGUGGGGCAGCUGGCUGACCAGUGAUAGUGUAGUAUGAGGUGGGUAGGUUUGUGGCGGCUGACCAAUGAUAGUGUAGUAUGAGGUGGGUAGGUUUGUGGCGGCUGAUUGACCAGUGAUAGUGUAGUAUGAGGUGGGUAGGUGUGUGGCGGCUUGCUGACCAGUGAUAGUGUAGUUUGAGGUGGAUAGGUUUGUUGCUGCUGACCAGUGAUAGUGUAGUUUGAGGUGGGUAGGUUUGUGGCGGCUGAUUGACCAGUGAUAGUGUAGUUUGAAGUGGGUAGGUUUGUGGCAGCUGACUGACCAGUGAUAGUGUAGUAUGAGGUGGGUAGGUUUGUGGCGGCUGACCAGAAAUAGUGUAGUAUGAGGUGGGUAGGUUUGUUGCGGCUGACCAAUGAUAGUGUAGUUUGAGGUGGGUAGGUUUGUGGCGGCUGACCAGUGAUAGUGUAGUAUGAGGUGGGUAGGUUUGUGGCGGCUGGCUGACCAGUGAUAGUGUAGUUUGAAGUGGGUAGGUUUGUGGCAGCUGACUGACCAGUGAUAGUGUAGUAUGAGGUGGGUAGGUUUGUGGCGGCUGACCAGAAAUAGUGUAGUAUGAGGUGGGUAGGUUUGUUGCGGCUGACCAAUGAUAGUGUAGUUUGAGGUGGGUAGGUUUGUGGUGGCUGACUGACCAGUGAUAGUGUAGAAUGAGGUGGGUAGGUUUGUGGCGGCUGAUUGACCAGUGAUAGUGUAGAAUGAGGUGGGUAGGUGUGUGGCAGCUGUGCAACCAGUGAUAGUGUAGUUUGAGGUGGGUAGGUGUGUGGCGGCUUGGCAACCAGUGAUAGUGUAGUAUGAGAUGGGUAGGUUUGUGGCGGCUUACCAAUGAUAGUGUAGUAUGAGGUGGGUAGGUUUGUGGCGGCUUAUCAGUGAUAGUGUUAUAUGAGGUGGGUAGGUUUGUGGCGGCUGACUGACCAGUGAAGUGUAGUUUGAGGUGGGUAGGUGUGUGGCAGCUGGCUGACCAGUGAUAGUGUAGUAUGAGGUGGGUAGGUUUGUGGCGACUGACCAAUGAUAGUGUAGUAUGAGGUGGGUAGGUUUGUGGCGGCUGGCUGACCAGUGAUAGUGUAGUUUGAGGUGGGUAGGUUUGUGGCGGCUGGCUGACCAGUGAUAGUGUAGUUUGAGGUGGGUAGGUUUGUGGCGGCUGGCUGACCAGUGAUUGUGUAGUUUGGGGUGGGUAGGUUUGUGGCGGCUGGCUGAACAGUGAUAGUAUAGUUUGAGGUUGGUUGUUUUGUAGCGGCUGGCUGACCAGUUAUAGUGUAGUUUGAAGUGGGUGGGUUUGUGGCGGCUGACCAAUGAUAGUGUAGUAUGAGGUGGGUAGGUUUGUGGCAGCUGGCUGACGAGUGAUAGUGUAGUUUGAGGUGGGUAGGUUUGUGGUGGCUGACCAGUGAUAGUGUAGUUUGAGGUGGGUAGAUUUGUGGCGGCUGACCAGUGAUAGUGUAGUUUGAGGUGGGUAAGUUUCUGGCGGCUGACUGACCAGUGAUAGUGUAGUAUGAGGUGGGUAGGUUUGUGGCGGCUGGCUGACCAUUGAUAGUGUAGUUUGAGGUGGGUAGGUUUGUGGCGGCUGACCAAUGAUAGUGUAGUUUGAGGUGGGUAGGUUUGUGGCGGCUGAUUGACCAGUGAUCGUGUAGUAUGAGGUGGGUAGGUUUGUGGCGGCUGACUGACCACAAAUAGUGUACUUUGUGGUGGGUAUGUUUGUGGCGGCUGACCAGUGAUAGUGUAGUUAGAGGUGGGUAGGUUUGUGCCCGCUGACCAGUGGUAGUGUAGUUUGAGGUGGGUAGGUUUGUGCCCGCUGACCAGUGAUAGUGUAGUUUGAGGUGGGUAUGUUUGUGGCUGCUGACUAACCAGUGAUAGUGUAGUUUGAGGUGGGUAGGUUUGUGGCGGCUGUCUUACCAGUGGUAGUGUAGUUUGAGGUGGGUAGGUUUCUGGCGGCUGACUGACCAGUGGUAGUGUAGUUUGAGGUGGGUAGGUUUGUGGCGGCUAGCUGACCAGUGAUUGUGUAGUUUGGGGUGGGUAGGUUUGUGGCGGCUGGCUGAACAGUGAUAGUAUAGUUUGAGGUUGGUUGUUUUGUAGCGGCUGGCUGACCAGUUAUAGUGUAGUUUGAAGUGGGUAGGUUUGUGGCGGCUGACCAGUGUUAGUGUAGUUUGAGGUGGGUAGGUUUGUGGCGGCUGAUUGACCAGUGAUAGUGUAGUUUGAGGUGGGUAGGUUUGUGGCGGCUGACUGAUCAGUGAUAGUGUAGUAUGAGGUGGGUAGGUUUGUGGCGGCUGACCAAUGAUAGUGUAGUAUGAGGUGGGUAGGUUUGUGGCAGCUGGCUGACGAGUGAUAGUGUAGUUUGAGGUGGGUAGGUUUGUGGCGGCUAACCAGUGAUAGUGUAGUAUGAGGUGGGUAGGUUUGUGGCGGCUGACCAAUGAUAGUGUAGUAUGAGGUGGGUAGGUUUGUGGCAGCUGGCUGACCAGUGAAGUGUAGUUUGAGGUGGGUAGGUUUGUGGCAGCUGGCUGACCAGUGAUAGUGUAGUUUGAGGUGGUAGGUUUGUGGUGGCUGACCAGUGAUAGUGUAGUUUGAGGUGGGUAGAUUUAUGGCGGCUGACCAGUGAUAGUGUAUUAUGAGGUGGGUAGGUUUGUGGCGGCUGAUUGACCAGUGAUAGUGUAGUAUGAGGUGGGUAGGUUUGUGGCAGCUGGCUGACCAGUGAUAGUGUAGUUUGAGGUGAGUAGGUUUGUGGCGGCUGACCAAUGAUAGUGUAGUUUGAGGUGGAUAGGUUUGUGGCGGCUGAUUGACCAGUGAUAGUGUAGUAUGAGGUGGGUAGGUUUGUGGCGGCUGGCUGAACAGUGAUAGUAUAGUUUGAGGUUGGUUGUUUUGUAGCGGCUGGCUGACCAGUUAUAGUGUAGUUUAAGGUGGGUAGGUUUGUGGCGGCUGAUUGACCAGUGAUAGUGUAGUUUGAGGUGGGUAGGUUUGUGGCGGCUGACUGAUCAGUGAUAGUGUAGUAUGAGGUGGGUAGGUUUGUGGCGGCUGACCAAUGAUAGUGUAGUUUGAGGUGGAUAGGUUUGUGGCGGCUGAUUGACCAGUGAUAGUGUAGUAUGAGGUGGGUAGGUUUGUGGCGGCUGACUGAACACAAAUAGUGUACUUUUUGGUGGGUAUGUUUGUGGCGGCUGACCAGUGAUAGUGUAGUUUGAGGUGGGUAGGUUUGUGCCCGCUGACCAGUGGUAGUGUAGUUUGAGGUGGGUAGGUUUGUGCCCGCUGACCAGUGAUAGUGUAGUUUGAGGUGGGUAUGUUUGUGGCGGCUGGCUGAACAGUGAUAGUAUAGUUUGAGGUUGGUUGUUUUGUAGCGGCUGGCUGACCAGUUAUAGUGUAGUUUAAGGUGGGUAGGUUUGUGGCGGCUGAUUGACCAGUGAUAGUGUAGUUUGAGGUGGGUAGGUUUGUGGCAGCUGGCUGACCAGUGAAGUGUAGUUUGAGGUGGGUAGGUUUGUGGCAGCUGGCUGACCAGUGAUAGUGUAGUUUGAGGUGGGAAGGUUUGUGGCGGCUGACUGACCAGUGAUAGUGUAGUUUGAGGUGGGUAGGAUUGUGGUGGCUGACCAGUGAUAGUGUAGUUUGAGGUGGGUAGAUUUAUGGCGGCUGACCAGUGAUAGUGUAUUAUGAGGUGGGUAGGUUUGUGGCGGCUGAUUGACCAGUGAUAGUGUAGUAUGAGGUGGGUAGGUUUGUGCCCGCUGACCAGUGGUAGUGUAGUUUGAGGUGGGUAGGUUUGUGCCCGCUGACCAGUGAUAGUGUAGUUUGAGGUGGGUAUGUUUGUGGCGGCUGACUAACCAGUGGUAGUGUAGUUUGAGGUGGGUAGUUUUCUGGCGGCUGACUGACCAGUGGUAGUGUAGUUUGAGGUGGGUAGGUUUGUGGCCGCUGGCUGACCAGUUAGUGUGGAGUGCUUCAGGGCACCACAGGUUUAAACUGCAUGGUCUCUACCAGUUCAGUUCACCUGAUGGUGGUGAAUCCCUCUAUAGCACAUAUUACCACUCUUCUAUUUUAGAUAUAAAAUUGAACCUUUAUUUAACUAGGCAAGUCAGUUAAGAACAAACUCUUAUUUACAAUGACGGCCUAACCCGGCCGAUGCUGGGACAAAUUGUGCGCCGCCGUAUGGGACUCCCAAUCACGACCUGUUGUGAUACAGCCUGGAAUCGAGCCAUGGUCUGUAGUGACACCUCUAGCACUGAGAGACAGUGCCUUAGACUGCUGCUCCACUCAGGAGAUAUGUGAAUGAUGCAGGCUAGGGGUACGUUCAUUCGUCCAAAUGUUUGAGAUGUUUUCAAAACCUAUUUUCAAUCUGAAUGGUAGAAGACAAAUAGUGCCAUGAUUAUUUCCUGACCAUGUCACCUGACCAGGGACAAACUCCUAGCCCCUAGCUAGUUAUUACCCAUUAACUACAAUUUGUGGCCAGAGUUUUUCCUGGUCAGAUGACAUGGUCAGCAGGAAAAACUCAGCAUCAUUAUUUCAGCAACCAUAACGUCUUCUCUAAAAACCUUUCAAAAUGUUUCUUCCAACGGGGAGCUAAUGAACGCGACCCUAUCCGUUGUGCAGGGAUCUAAUCAUGUGACGGGGAAUUAGGGGGCUGCCAUUUCUCCCUGCACUUCCCUUUGAUCCUGUCCGCCACACACACACACACACACACACACACACACACACACACACACACACACACACACACACACACACACGUAUGCACAGCAUCUCCAACUCACACAUUUAUGCUACCGUGCAUGUGUGCAAAAUGAAGAAAAACGUGAUACACCUUGCCUUUAAAGUGAGGGCUGGGUUUUGAAGUGCCCGGUCUUGCCCUGACUUCCGGAGAUAUUUCCAGGUAUUGUCUGGGUAGGCUAGUCUUUCAUGGUUGACUGAGAGAGUGAUAUAAGAUGAGCCACACCCCUAUACCUGCAGAAAGAAACAGGCUGUGUGUGUGUGUGUGUGUGUGUGUGUGUGUGUGUGUGUGUGUGUGUGUGUGUGUGUGUGUGUGUGUGUGUGUGUGUGUGUGUGCGUGUGUGUCUGUGAGUGUGUGUGUGUGUGUGUGUGUGUGUGUGUGUGUGAAUGUGAUUCUACUCUGAGCAAAACAAGGGGACGAACCCAGUCAAUGACCAAUGAUUGGCAGUCUCUUCAAAAUAUGUGUGUGUACAUGUGUGUUUACAUAGAAGAUGGGCAGUACCCACACACACUGCUUGGCUUCCACUUUCACUUGCAGCUAGAGCAGGGUCCAAGGGUAGAUAGACAGUAGGGCUAGUUAGACCUCACGACAUGAUAUUAUCAGCAUACUUAGGUGCCGAUUCUAUAUGUACUGCGAUUCUCACUAUUCUCCUGAUUCUAUAUGUACU